Molecule: ribosomal RNA, 254 nt
Filed under: uncultured bacterium
Lineage: Bacteria
Description: partial 16S ribosomal RNA
Rfam family: Bacterial small subunit ribosomal RNA
Source: RNAcentral
UACGUAGGGUCCAAGCGUUAUCCGGAAUUACUGGGCGUAAAGCGUGCGUAGGCGGCGCGUUAAGUGAGAUGCGAAAUCCUGUGGCUCAGCCAUAUGGACUGUGUCUCAUACUGACGUGCUUGAGGAUGGCAGAGGCAAGUGGAAUUACCGGUGUAGCAGUGAAAUGCGUAGAUAUCGGUAGGAACACCAAUGGCGAAGGCAGCUUGCUGGGCCACACCUGACACUGAGGUACGAAAGCGUGGGGAGCGAACAGG